GAUGAAGAACGCAGCGAAAUGCGAUAAGUAAUGCGAAUUGCAGAAUUCAGUGAGUCAUCGAAUCUUUGAACGCACAUUGCGCCCUGUGGUAUUCCGCAGGGCAUGCCUGUUCGAGCGUCAUUUCAACCCUCAAGCCUCGCUUGGUGUUGGGCCCUGCCCGCCGCGGCCGGCCCUAAAGAUAGUGGCGGCGCCGCCUGGCCCUCAGCGUAGUACAGCUCUCGCUCCAGAGUCCGGCGGCAGCCUGCCAGAACCCCCCAACUCUGUGGUUGACCUCGGAUCAGGUAGGGAUACCCGCUGAACUUAAGCAUAUCAAUAAGCGGAGGA
This 324-nucleotide unclassified non-coding RNA is filed under the name soil metagenome. RNAcentral's name for it is "partial contains 5.8S ribosomal RNA, internal transcribed spacer 2, and large subunit ribosomal RNA". The stretch from base 1 to 120 matches the Rfam family "5.8S ribosomal RNA", at positions 35 to 154 of the family's 154-position model. The record is from RNAcentral.